AGCAAAGUGGCCACAGGUAUGGUCUCUGGAGCUGGACUGUCUGGGUUCAAAUCCCAGCCUUGCUA
This 65-nucleotide transfer RNA is filed under the name Ailuropoda melanoleuca (giant panda). It matches the Rfam family "tRNA". Rfam says of the family: Transfer RNA (tRNA) molecules are approximately 80 nucleotides in length. Their secondary structure includes four short double-helical elements and three loops (D, anti-codon, and T loops). The record is from Rfam by way of RNAcentral. Lineage: Eukaryota; Metazoa; Chordata; Mammalia; Carnivora; Ursidae.